GCCCAGGUAGCUCAGAUGGUAGAGCAGCGGACUGAAAAUCCGCGUGUCGGUGGUUCGAAUCCGCCCCUGGGCACCA
RNAcentral lists this transfer RNA (76 nucleotides) under Rhodospirillales bacterium. RNAcentral describes it as "tRNA-Phe". It matches the Rfam family "tRNA". Rfam says of the family: Transfer RNA (tRNA) molecules are approximately 80 nucleotides in length. Lineage: Bacteria; Pseudomonadati; Pseudomonadota; Alphaproteobacteria; Rhodospirillales. The record is from RNAcentral.